RNAcentral lists this small RNA (116 nucleotides) under Sinorhizobium meliloti 2011. Its description in RNAcentral is "putative ncRNA". The record is from RNAcentral. Lineage: Bacteria; Pseudomonadati; Pseudomonadota; Alphaproteobacteria; Hyphomicrobiales; Rhizobiaceae.
AGGCCAUAGCUGAGAUUCUGACGGACCGUCAUAUGCGGGUAGAGCGCGUAGUUCUGAAAGACCAUAGCAAUGUCGCGCUCGGAAGGCUCCAGCCCGUUGACGACGCGGUCGCCGAU